RNAcentral lists this non-coding RNA (104 nucleotides) under Microcebus murinus (gray mouse lemur). The record is from RNAcentral. Lineage: Eukaryota; Metazoa; Chordata; Mammalia; Primates; Cheirogaleidae.
GACUGGCCUGAAGGCAGUGAGUUAUCUCUGUUGAUUGUUCACAGUUACAGAUUGAACUGCUUGUUCUACUGUUUCCCCCCUUCUUGCUACUGGACUAGUCAUAA